This 73-nucleotide transfer RNA is filed under the name Ipomoea nil (Japanese morning glory). It matches the Rfam family "tRNA". From Rfam's summary of the family: Transfer RNA (tRNA) molecules are approximately 80 nucleotides in length. Their secondary structure includes four short double-helical elements and three loops (D, anti-codon, and T loops). Further hydrogen bonds mediate the characteristic L-shaped molecular structure. tRNAs have two regions of fundamental functional importance: the anti-codon, which is responsible for specific mRNA codon recognition, and the 3' end, to which the tRNAs corresponding amino acid is attached (by aminoacyl-tRNA synthetases). tRNAs cope with the degeneracy of the genetic code in two manners: having more than one tRNA (with a specific anti-codon) for a particular amino acid; and 'wobble' base-pairing, i.e. permitting non-standard base-pairing at the 3rd anti-codon position. The record is from Rfam by way of RNAcentral. Lineage: Eukaryota; Viridiplantae; Streptophyta; Magnoliopsida; Solanales; Convolvulaceae.
GAUUCCAUAGCCUAAUGGAUAAGGUGUUGGUUUACCAAACUAAAGAUUAUGAGUUUGAUCCCCAGUGGAAUUG